GCAAGACGGAGGUGCUCAUUGUGGGGGCUCAGAAUCUGAGGGCAGCACCAGCACACAAGGCUUUCACUCGCUCAUCAAUUCUCAUCAGUGACAGAAUCUCAAAUGCAGGUGGACCAUGCAGAGUGGCUGGGGAAACCACAUACCUCUGAAUCCAGGGAGUGAAGAAGCAAUAUAGAUAUCGUUUCAAAACUAUUUCUCAUCUCCAACAUCAUGUUUUGAUAGGCUUGGAUGUUCCCACGAAGAUUUGAGAGACUUACAAAUUAUAUGGCUUUAUGUUGUUUGGGGCCGCUGUCCAUAAACAGUCAUCAGGUGUAGAUUUGCCUUUGCAACACAGUUUUGCAAUCAAAUUGUUUCUUCUCGGGAUGAGUCCAUGUGAUGUUUCAUAGCACUUAACAGCUCUAUAAGACCAUAAUUGUGAAUUUGCCCUUCAUUUAGCAUUCUUAGCUGUUUGGAGAAAUGGGAACAGAACUGGAAAGUGUUCCAUGGUUGCAAAUUGAAUGUUGGAGAGCAAAGCUAGUUGGCAAGAAGCCCAGUUCCCAUCUUGCACCUCUAUGCAUAUAAAUUGACAGCCCUCUAUGGCAAUCUGUAUACUUUUGUAACAUGAGAAUGGCUACACCUGUGUAUUUUUUUUGUUCUAAGAAUAGUCAUGUAACUUCCACAUAUGGGUGAUCAACCUUGUCAUAGCACUUGGCAGCUGUAUAUGGAUUAGAAAGGUGACACUGGUUUUCCAUGCUUUCCUGGGACUGUGUUGUAUUUCUGAAAAUGUAAUUGAUCCUAAUGACUUAUUUAUUUUCAAAACAUAUAGACUGCCUUUCCAAAUAUUCAAGGUAGCUAUCAAACACUGCUUGUGUAGUGAUGCUGAAACUAAUCACCAUGAAAACAUUAAUGUUGAGGAAUGUUUUACUGGUUAUAGAAGUGUAAAUAAAUUUUUCUUUCAUGGAAUUCAAGGCAGCAUACGUGGGGUUCCAAUGGCAUACAUGGUGUUCCCAUCUGGGCACUGAUCAGACAAAGACCAUGCUUCCAAAUGGUUGCUGCCUCAUGUCUUCAGACCAUAUGCUGAACAAUAUAUAUAGAGAGAGAAUGUUAAAAAUUGUGGAGAAUAACCCACCCAUUCAGAAUAUAUUCAGGCCAAAAUCUGCAAAUGAAACUUAAACUUUUUUAAAAAAAUGAGGAGGGAUUAACUAUUUUUUAAAAAAAAUAGUUUUUACCUUUUUAUAAAACACAUUUUUAUGUUUAUUAAGGUCAGGCAGUAAUUGUUUCUUGUGCUCUUUGGAUCAAAGGAAACUUUCCUCUGUGGCUAUAAAUGGACCUGCAAAAUAUCCACGGAGUACGUUAAACCUCAGUGAUAGCAAAGUCCCAGACUAUGGUGAUCUUUUACUUGCCUCGUAUCCAAGACAAGCAGCUAGAACAAUGCUGGAAAUAGUUUGGCACUAGCAUGCAUUGUUUUGUUCAGGAUUCUUGGGUGGCAUAACACUUAAGUGGGAGAGCUGAUAGAGCAAGCUGUGCCAAAAACAUUAUAUCCAUGCAUUCUACGGCUCAGAAAACAUGCGAGUGCCAUUGCAACUUCAUUUGUUCAGUACUCAAGGAAGUAGCUUUUGGAUGAUUUCCAAAGACAGAUGAUGAAGUGCUAUUUUAGUGAGAGUGUUGUUGCUAUGGCUAGUUCAUUUGCUUAGUGAUUCUUGCAGCUGAUCAGCAGUAAUUUUUCUUAUGUUCUAAAUCUGAGUAAAUGUUCAUAUGUUGCUCUUCA
This is a long non-coding RNA of Hemicordylus capensis (graceful crag lizard), 1747 nucleotides long. RefSeq lists it as uncharacterized. The transcript is spliced from 2 exons. The record is from RefSeq and is a predicted model, not a curated record. NCBI's taxonomy places the organism in Eukaryota, Metazoa, Chordata, Lepidosauria, Squamata, Cordylidae.